RNAcentral lists this long non-coding RNA (779 nucleotides) under Capra hircus (goat). RNAcentral's name for it is "lncRNA (ENSCHIG00010030446.1)". The record is from RNAcentral. Lineage: Eukaryota; Metazoa; Chordata; Mammalia; Artiodactyla; Bovidae.
ACAGCGAUUUUAAUUUGAAAGCAAUUUUAUGUGAGUGAAAGAUAGGGGAAGGGAACCCCGGAGAGAAGAGCCGCAGGGCAGAAGUCAUGCAGCCCCAGCACCUCACCUCCGCAGGCCGGCCAUCUCCCCUCAAUCAGGCCAGGACACUCAGCGUCCCAGGCUCUGCGGGAGGUGGGGAAGUGUGAGACGGGACUCUGGCCAGGAGACAGUGACAGGGUCCCCUCCUUCCAGAGAAGCCCCCAUCUGCCAGGCUGGGUUAGAGGAAGGCCUGGCAGAGCUUUCCUCCCAUGUCCAUCAGUUUGGGGGGCCUGCCCCCCAAUAUCCAUCUCUGCGGGAGUUCUCUUUCCAUUCUUCAGAUGGGGAUGCCGAGUGAGGCAAGACGAGCAGCAAGGACCUGGGAGCAAGGACGGGGCUUUGUGCUGGGGGAGGAGAGGCCACUCCAGGCUGGAGUUCUGAAAGCGCCCCCAGACCAUGGCAGAGCCAGACAAACUCGGAGACUCGAGGCCGCCGCAGGGAGAGGCCCACCAGUGGUCUGGGUCCCUCUGACUUGGGACCUCAAGCAAACCCUUACAGGGUUUAGGGACAGCAGGUCUGUAUGCGGGCUCAGGCCAGCUGGUGGGGAGCCUCAAGCAUCUCCAUGAGGAAGGUGUCGAUGGGGGUGUCACCGAUGAGCUUGAAGAAAAACAGAUGCUCUAGACACUUAAGGCCUAUGGACCUGAGAGCGGGAAGACGAAGCAGCAGCUUGGCAAACCUGAGGGCGGGGGAGACGCGGAGUCAGG